UACGUAGGGUGCAAGCGUUAUCCGGAUUCACUGGGCUUAAAGGGUGCGUAGGCGGUCAGGUAAGUCCGUGGUGAAAUCUCUGAGCUUAACUCAGAAACUGCCAUGGAUACUAUUUGUCUUGAAUAUUGUGGAGGUAAGCGGAAUAUGUCAUGUAGCGGUGAAAUGCUUAGAUAUGACAUAGAACACCAAUUGCGAAGGCAGCUUACUAGACAGUUAUUGACGCUGAGGCACGAAAGCGUGGGGAUCAAACAGG
RNAcentral lists this ribosomal RNA (253 nucleotides) under uncultured bacterium. Its description in RNAcentral is "partial 16S ribosomal RNA". It matches the Rfam family "Bacterial small subunit ribosomal RNA", at positions 524 to 776 of the family's 1533-position model. The record is from RNAcentral.